This 395-nucleotide ribosomal RNA is filed under the name uncultured bacterium. RNAcentral's name for it is "bacterial SSU rRNA". It matches the Rfam family "Bacterial small subunit ribosomal RNA", at positions 505 to 898 of the family's 1533-position model. The record is from RNAcentral.
GUGCCAGCAGCCGCGGUAAUACGUAGGUGGCGAGCGUUAUCCGGAUUUACUGGGCGUAAAGAGCGCGUAGGCGGUUCCGCAAGUUGGGCGUGAAAGCCCCCGGCUUAACUGGGGAGGGUCGUUCAAUACUGCGGGACUUGAGGGUGGAAAAGGAGACUGGAAUUCCCGGUGUAGUGGUGAAAUGCGUAGAUAUCGGGAGGAACACCUGUGGUGAAGACGGGUCUCCGGGCCAUUUCUGACGCUGAGGCGCGAAAGCGUGGGGAGCGAACGGAAUUAGAUACUCCGGUAGUCCACGCCCUAAACGAUGGACACUAGGUGUGGUGGGUAUCGACCCCUGCCGUGCCGUAGUCAACACAAUAAGUGUCCCGCCUGGGGACUACGAGCGCAAGCUUAAA